Molecule: ribosomal RNA, 484 nt
Filed under: uncultured bacterium
Lineage: Bacteria
Description: partial 16S ribosomal RNA
Rfam family: Bacterial small subunit ribosomal RNA
Source: RNAcentral
AUUGAACGCUGGCGGCAUGCUUUACACAUGCGAGUCGAACGGCAGCGCGGGCUUCGGCCUGGCGGCGCGCGGCGAACGGGGGAGUAAUACAUCGGAACGUGCCCAGUAUUGGGGGAUAGCUCGGCGAAAGCCGGAGUAAUACCGCAUACGACCUGAGGGUGAAAGCGGGGGGUCUUCGGACAUCGCGCGAUGGGAGGGGCCGAUGGCGGGUUAGCUAGUUGGUGGGGUGAAGGCCUACCAAGGCGACGAUCGGUAGCUGGUCUGAGAGGACGACCGCCCACCUGGGAAGUGGGCCGCCGCCCAGAGUCCUACGGGAGGCAGCAGUGUGGAACGUGGGACAACGGUCGAAAGCAUUGCCCAGCAAGCCCGAGUGUGUGACGACGGCGCCGCGUUUGGAAAGACGGUCUGGCGGGAAUGAAAAGGAUUGUGCUAAUACCACGCUUGGAUGACGGUACUCGCAGAAUAAGCACCGGCUAACUACGUG